AAGUUCUCCCCGCGGUAGACUUCAAAUACUCUUUGUCCUGCCCCUGCUUGGCGAAAUUUACCGAAAUUAUCUACCUAUCCCGCUGGAGUGGGAGCCGGGGGAGAGCUGGAACCGCGUCUCUGCUGCUCACCUUUGUGUCCUUAGCUCCUUCGCAUGGGGUCCGACCGCAACACGUGCGCUGGAUAAACGCUUGUUAACUGGGUGAGAGCCAAGGCCUGUUCUUUCCACUUCUGGGGCUGUGACUUGAGUUUCUCCGCAGGAGCAGAUAGUGUUUGUGUAGGGACUGCGGACUUUUGCAUUACAGCCUCCCUGCUUUGCCCGCCUGCUGCUGGAAGCUUAGCAGGUGAGGAAAGAGGACUUCCUGUAUAUCUCUAUCCUUUUGUUUCCAUUACUCACUUUCUGUGGCUGCUGCUGCAGAAGCCACUGCUGACUGAUGUGGAUACCUCAAUCUUUGGUUUACAAAAAGCCUAGGUGUCUUUUGGCCUCUCUCCAGGUUGAUAGCCAUGGCUCCUGAAAGAAAUAAAAGAUGAUCAUCUUUCUA
RNAcentral lists this long non-coding RNA (541 nucleotides) under Homo sapiens (human). RNAcentral's name for it is "HSALNT0333591". The record is from RNAcentral. Lineage: Eukaryota; Metazoa; Chordata; Mammalia; Primates; Hominidae.